Molecule: transfer RNA, 75 nt
Filed under: Eisenbergiella tayi
Lineage: Bacteria; Bacillati; Bacillota; Clostridia; Lachnospirales; Lachnospiraceae
Also listed under: 3 other names
Description: tRNA-Lys
Rfam family: tRNA
About the family: Transfer RNA (tRNA) molecules are approximately 80 nucleotides in length. Their secondary structure includes four short double-helical elements and three loops (D, anti-codon, and T loops). Further hydrogen bonds mediate the characteristic L-shaped molecular structure. tRNAs have two regions of fundamental functional importance: the anti-codon, which is responsible for specific mRNA codon recognition, and the 3' end, to which the tRNAs corresponding amino acid is attached (by aminoacyl-tRNA synthetases). tRNAs cope with the degeneracy of the genetic code in two manners: having more than one tRNA (with a specific anti-codon) for a particular amino acid; and 'wobble' base-pairing, i.e. permitting non-standard base-pairing at the 3rd anti-codon position.
Source: RNAcentral
UGGAGCACUAGCUCAGUCGGUAGAGCACCUGACUUUUAAUCAGGUUGUCGGGGGUUCGAAUCCCCCGUGCUUCAG